This 346-nucleotide unclassified non-coding RNA is filed under the name soil metagenome. RNAcentral describes it as "partial contains 5.8S ribosomal RNA, internal transcribed spacer 2, and large subunit ribosomal RNA". The stretch from base 3 to 121 matches the Rfam family "5.8S ribosomal RNA", at positions 36 to 154 of the family's 154-position model. The record is from RNAcentral.
GAAUGAAGAACGCAGCGAAAUGCGAUAAGUAAUGUGAAUUGCAGAAUUCAGUGAAUCAUCGAGUCUUUGAACGCACAUUGCGCCCCCUGGUAUUCCGGGGGGCAUGCCUGUCCGAGCGUCAUUGCUGCCCUCAAGCACGGCUUGUGUGUUGGGCCUCCGUCCUCCUCCCGGGGGACGGGCCCGAAAGGCAGCGGCGGCACCGCGUCCGGUCCUCGAGCGUAUGGGGCUUCGUCACCCGCUCUUGUAGGCCCGGCCGGCGCUUGCCGACACAUCAAUCUUUUUUCCAGGUUGACCUCGGAUCAGGUAGGGAUACCCGCUGAACUUAAGCAUAUCAAUAAGCGGAGGA